RNAcentral lists this ribosomal RNA (1066 nucleotides) under uncultured bacterium. RNAcentral describes it as "bacterial SSU rRNA". It matches the Rfam family "Bacterial small subunit ribosomal RNA", at positions 200 to 1242 of the family's 1533-position model. The record is from RNAcentral.
AUGAAAGACGGUUUCGGCUGUCACUUACAGAUGGACCCGCGGCGCAUUAGCUAGUUGGUGAGGUAACGGCUCACCAAGGCGACGAUGCGUAGCCGACCUGAGAGGGUGAUCGGCCACACUGGGACUGAGACACGGCCCAGACUCCUACGGGAGGCAGCAGUAGGGAAUCUUCCGCAAUGGACGAAAGUCUGACGGAGCGACGCCGCGUGAGUGAUGAAGGUUUUCGGAUCGUAAAGCUCUGUUGUUAGGGAAGAACAAGUGCAAGAGUAACUGCUUGCACCUUGACGGUACCUAACCAGAAAGCCACGGCUAACUACGUGCCAGCAGCCGCGGUAAUACGUAGGUGGCAAGCGUUGUCCGGAAUUAUUGGGCGUAAAGGGCUCGCAGGCGGUUUCUUAAGUCUGAUGUGAAAGCCCCCGGCUCAACCGGGGAGGGUCAUUGGAAACUGGGAAACUUGAGUGCAGAAGAGGAGAGUGGAAUUUCCACGUGUAGCGGUGAAAUGCGUAGAGAUGUGGAGGNANACNACCAGUGGCGAAGGCGACUCUCUGGUCUGUAACUGACGCUGUAGGAGCGAAAGCGUGGGGAGNGAANAGAAAUUAAAUACCCUGGUAGUCCACGCCGUAAACGAUGAGUGCUAAGAUGUUAGGGGGUUUCCGCCCCUUAGUNGCUGCAGCUAACGCAUUAAGCACUCCGCCNUGGGGANGUACGGUCGCAAGNACUNGAAACUCAAAGGAAUUGACGGGGGCCCGCACAAGCGGUGGGGCAUGUGGUUUAAUUCGAAGCAACGCGAAGAACCUUACCAGGUCUUGACAUCCUCUGACAACCCUAGAGAUAGGGCUUUCCCUUCGGGGACAGAGUGACAGGUGGUGCAUGGUUGUCGUCAGCUCGUGUCGUGAGAUGUUGGGUUAAGUCCCGCAACGAGCGCAACCCUUGAUCUUAGUUGCCAGCAUUUAGUUGGGCACUCUAAGGUGACUGCCGGUGACAAACCGGAGGAAGGUGGGGAUGACGUCAAAUCAUCAUGCCCCUUAUGACCCGGGCUACACACGUGCUACAAUGGACAGAACAA